Molecule: ribosomal RNA, 210 nt
Filed under: Crematogaster tenuicula
Lineage: Eukaryota; Metazoa; Arthropoda; Insecta; Hymenoptera; Formicidae
Description: partial large subunit ribosomal RNA
Source: RNAcentral
GAAUUUUAUAUAAAUAAGUUAUUUGAUUAAGUUUAAUAAAUAAUUUUAGAUAUAUUUAAUUGGGAGGAUUGUUAAAUUAAGUAAACUUUAAUUAAAUUUAAAAUAUUAAUUAAUAGAUUUUAGAAUGGUUGUUAAAUUAAGUAAGAAUUAAUUACCUUAGGGAUAACAGCGUAAUAUUUUUAGAGAGUUCAUAUUAAUAAAAAUGUUUGC